Molecule: long non-coding RNA, 26031 nt
Filed under: Gallus gallus (chicken)
Lineage: Eukaryota; Metazoa; Chordata; Aves; Galliformes; Phasianidae
Source: RNAcentral
UGCCGGCCGCGCCGCCCUUGGCCUAACGGCGGGCCGGGCCCGGCGGAGCGGCGCGGCCUGGGCGGCGGGCGGGCGGGCCGAAGGCCCGGCGGGGCGCGGGCGGCGGGGCGGCCCCGCCGCUGCCUUCCUUCUCCCCGUCCCCGCGAGCCGCGCCGGGAAACGGGCUCGCUGCGGACCGGCCCCGCCGCACCGGGACCGCGCUCCCGCGGCCGCGCGGUGCCCGCAGGACGGCCCCCGGGGUCCCGCCGCGGCUGCGGGCCGCGUUCCGGGGGUGCCGGGCCGACCUCGGGCCCGCGCGGCGGGGCCGCCUCGGUGUCCGGGCCGGGCGCGGCGGCGGUGGGGCCGCGGGAGCAACAGGCGGCGGGCGGAGGGCGGGCCGGCCCCGCUGCACGGGCGCGCUCGGGCCGAGUUCGGCGCGUUUGGGCCGGGGCUGCGGCUCCGCGCUGUGCCCCGGGGCGGCCGUGCGGGGCCCUCGGGGCUGCGGCUCCGCGCUGGGGAAGCGGCACCGCCAGCGCCGGUGGGGCCUAAGCGGGCGCGGAACGGUGUGUGAGUGUGUGUGUGUGUGUGUGUGUGUGUGUGAGUGAGCGUGAGCGCAGCGCGCCUUCACCUUUCCUCUCUUCUCCCACCCCCGGGCAGGGCCGCCUCCCGCCGCUGCACCGCGGGCUGCUGCCGCCCCCCGCCGGGGUGCGCCGCUCUGAGCCCGGUCCGUACCGCGCUCUGUCAGCGGUUUAUCGGCCCUUAAAAACUUCGGCUUCGCAGGUGCCCUCCUGCCCCCGCAGCCCUCGCUCCAGCAGUCCCUAAUUCAGCCUCAUUUUCGAACUGCAGCCCCUGCCGCCGUUCCAGGCAUCCCGAGCCACUUACUCAUUCUUCCCAAUGCUUGUCGCUGCUAUCCUAAAUAUAGGGUAGUGUGCCAACGGGAGAGGCUCGGGAGCGAGCCGGGGUGCAGGGAACGCCACCGCCGUGUCGGCAGAGCCGUGCUGCUCCCAGCCCGUGCUGCCUGCUUGCUGCAGGCUUUGUGCUGCUUGGGGAGCUGCCGUGAGUUCCUGAAUGGGAUGGGGUUGGUUAUGGUGUGUGCUGACUUAGCGGUGCCCGGGGUAUGGGUCAGUGUGCUCUUUGCCUUGCCCUGCACCCGCGGGUCUGUAGGGAUUUGUUAACCCCGAGUGCUUCUCUGCUUUCAGACGUGGCUCACACCGAGCUGAGUGCUGCGGGGCCGCGCUCUGCUCCUCUGGCUGCUGCAGGGCCUGAGGGUGGGCAGUGGGGGACACCGGGAUCCCCGCCGGCUUCGGCUGUGAUAGGCACAGCCAGAACUGGCUCAGACCUGACCAUAGCUUAUCUGCCACGGCCGGCUGCUCUGGAGGAAUUCCUGCACGUCUUCUGGCGGCAGAACUUCGCUCCGGCAGCGGGGGGACGUCGGAGGGAAUGCUGCGUCCUGGUUCGUGCCAUAGAGAGAGGCGCUGCGGUGCUUUGCACCUGAGCCCGGGGUCCCCUCAGCUCUGCUGGAGGAGGUGAGAGGGCGGUGGGGUCACGCUGGUGGCACUGCCGGGCUCCCCUGGCACAGGGGUGAGCCGCAGCGUGCUGCUGGUGCAGCAGAGGUGUGUGACACAGCAGCAGGAGCGGUGUGAGCUGCCUCUCCGCGUCCCGUCAGCUGAGGAAUAGCGUGGAGGAAUGAAUUCCAGUGAGUUGGAUGAGGAAAAUGUAAACUCUGCGUUCUCGUCGGGCAAACAGCAGUCGUGUAAAUAAACGUCUCUGGGAUUCCUUGUGGUGCUCAUCGACUGCCCGAUCCCUCGUGGUCUCUUGUUGAACUGGUGGGGUGGCUGCUGCUGCUCCCCCAGCUCUGAGUGCUUUGCCAGCAGUUUGGGCAAAACACAAGUAAACACCAUUGGGUUGACCCGGCAUAUCUGAGGUCUUGGUAUGCUGAAAAUGUUUGUUCUUGGGAUGUUUGUGCAGUCUGGAGGGCUCUGUACUUUAAGUCCCGUUUGCUGAGGACUGUGACUUGUUUAAUCUGUCUGAAGAACCUGUGCUUUUGGGGCUUGUUCUGUGAGAUUGAGUAAGUUUGGGCAAAGCCUGGAGGUGCUGCAGGAAGGGAGGUUAGUUCAUUAACCAACGGUCACGCAGGUGUGCAUAUUUCCUGCUCCGCCGCGUUUUCCUACCUUUGUAUUUUCCUGCAUUUAUUCACUGACUCAAUUCUGGUCUGGAUUGAAGUUCAUUGAAGUGGGAAAGGCGCUCGGGACUGCUUGGUGUUGCUUUGCUUUUCCUGAGUGUGCCGGCUGUGCUGGGCUGCCUGCAUCCUGGGACGGGCGGUGAAUAGAAGCCGAAGCUCCUGUCUGGAGGGCAGCCUUUGCCUGAGGUGUCAGCAGGGCUCAGGUGAGAUCUCACACCCCAGUACUGCAUGCCAUUUUCCCCAGUGCUGUGUCCUGCUCAAGGUCACACGGCGUGGCACCGUGGGUUCCCGGAGGCCAGGCUCCCUCUGGGAGGUGCCCUGGCAUCCCCACUGCACCUCCACAUCCUGGGCCAGGUUGUGGGCCUGCUGCUUCUGACAUAUCCAACUUGGGGAGCUCCUGGUGGGCCCCCAGCUUUAGCACAAAGGGUUUGUGCUGGUGGCACCCUUGCUAUGGACAUGAGCAAGCUCCUUCCUGCACGUGGCGGCCAGUCUUUGCUGAGCUGAUCUUUUUUUUUCUUUUUCCCCCUUUUUUUUUAUUCCCCUGGAUUAACUUUCUGCAAAUUAGUAACCCAAAUGGUCACACGAAGGAGUGGAUAAGCACAGAGCCCCAGAGGAGGGGGCCCAGCCUGGAGGAGGAGGAGGAGGCAGCGGGUGCUGGUGCUGCAGCGGUGAGUUAGCACAGGGCACUCUCAAAAGGGCCCUUCUCUUCCCCACUCUCAGCUGUGCCCUCCUGCCUCCUCCCACGUGCCAGCUGUGGUGCUGAGCCCGUGCAUUGAUGAACUGACCCAGCUCGCUUGGCAUUCAAUUGUUCUUUUCAUGGUGGGUUUUUUUUCCGUGUGAGCAUUUCCCUGCUGGUCAGGAGGGGACUCAGACCGGGCUGGCAGGCAGGGAGCCCUCUGCCAGCACGGCUCUCCACUGAGGUCCCUCCUGUGGGGUUACUGCCCUGCUUGCUGCUACUGCAGGUGUGCUGUAGGGCUGCAGGGCCGGGCGGUGAUUCCUGAUGGGAUCCCUAUGCGUUCCCCCUGGCAGAUCCUUGCAUGCGAGGGGCAGGGCGUGGGGACAGCGGUAGAUCCCAUCCCAGCACUGGGGAGGAGAGUGCUCGGUUUCACGUUGGGGUUUUCUUCAGCAAAACAGGCUCCUGGCCUCAUCUGCUCCGUGAACAGAUGUGUGAAUGAGGGACUCUGCUGACGAGUUCUCCUUUUUUUUUCCUCUUUUCACAUGUUGUGGUCUCACCGCAAUGCUCAGCUGUGGCAUUUGCCAUCGCGGUGAACCUGACCGAGAAUACGGGCUGUAUUUUCUCACGUGCUUUCUGAGAAGAGCUCAGCUCCUGGAGGGCAACGGGGUGGCUUCAGAAAGAUUUCAGAUCCUGGCUCAGAGCUCUACCACAAAUUGCUUUAAAAGCCUCUGUGCAGCGUUGGGUUCUGCAGUGCUCCUCGGGAGGACCUGACUGGUGGCAUUCCUGCCUGCCCUCGGUGCAGGGAUUGCAGGAGGGGUUUCAGCUUAUUGCAGCACGGCCACGGGUCACUCUGGUGCUGAACACAGGUGAUAUAUUCACACUGCUGCUUUCGGGCACGUUUCAUUUCUUUUUUUUCAACUAGGUUGUACGUUUAGACUUGAGGACGCUUAAUCCUCUGUGAAGAGUGUUCCUCAAGGCUGGCUGUUAGCAUCCUGUAGGUUUGAUGGGGGCUUCCAGCAGCAGAUACUGGGCACUUGGUACCAGUCCCCGGGGCUAGGGAUGAGCUGGAGUGUGGAAGGGCUGGGUGGCAGUCAGGGCUGGUGGUUUCCCACUCGAGCAGUGAAUGAUGAGGGGUGCUGUGACAGCCUUAUGCUGCUCCGGCUGCAGCACAGGUCCCUUGUGAGGGUGGCACUGCUUGCUUCUUGCCACCAUUUUUCCCUUUGCCUUAUGCAGGGUCAGCCCAGGGUGGAUUCUUUCAGACCCUCUGGGAAAUGCACCUUGUAGCAGAGCUCCUGUAAGGCCCCCAAUGGGUUUCCUUGUGUCCACGGCUUCUUAGGGGCUUUUCAGGUACAGGGGAGGGGACAGAGAUCUCUGUAACCAAAGGGGCAAUAUCUCCUGAGUCCUUUCUGGCUUCUAUGCAUCGCCCAUAAACUUAUGCUGUACUGUUGCCCUCCAGCUGAGGUGUUUGUUAUCUCCAUGCUGUACUCUGGGGAGUCUUACAGGAAGGCCUCACGCAGGGAGCAGAUUCCGAGUGUGAUAGCAGGAGGCAUUGUGAGCCAGAAGGCAGAAGAACUGUACUGCUGGAUGCUGAUACUGAGUGCUUUGGAGCUCUCUUUUUCUCCUCUAACACCUUCCAUCUGGAUCUGCUUCCUCUGAAGGUGAGCACUCAGCUUUUCCCCAGAUCAGGGCUUCUUAGCACCGGAUGACCUUGCAGUCACCUGCAAACACAGCGUGAGGCUGCUGGAAAUCUGAACUGAUGCUUUUGACACUGAGGCUGCAAAGAUACAAAUAAUCUGGGUUGCAACAGUUUGAUAUUUGCAUCCCAUAGGCUUUCCUGGCACCUGUUGCUGUGUUCUCUGUGCUGGAGGAGUUGGUUCUCUCAUGCAGGACCAUGCCUGGUGGUUUCCCACCCCAGAGAAGCUGUUACCGUUGGAGUUUCUAUCAUAAUGCCAGGAGGCACAUUAGGGAAUGAAAGGUGGUUGUUCUGAACUCUGUAUUAAAGGUCUCAGGAUCUUAAAAUUCAGUUCCCUCUCUCCUAUCAGCUCCCAAAAUCUUCGUUCUUUCCUUUCUCCUGCACGCUGCACUGUCGUGCAUGCUUUAUGACAUGUUGAAAAGUGUAAUUUUGGUAAUGCUGGCAACAGCUGAGCUUAACAGACUCAGCUUGUGUCAUUGACUUGGUGAGCUCUCACUCUGGAUUCACUUAAGGGCUCUGCCCUGUGGUGUAUGUGAGCUGAGUAGGUUCUGAAUGCAGGGUGUGUCGGUGGAUAUCAUCCCCUUCAAGAAAGUACAGAGGAUGCUAAAGCCUCUGUCAUAUCACUACUGCGGGCAGAACACCACGAACCUCGUUAAUAAGCUGUUUGUAAGGAAGGGAUAGGAAGGGCACUUCAUAGCCGUAACAAAGCUUGGUAAUCAAAGCUAACACAAAGAAGGGAUUCGGUUGUUACUGGCAAAGACGUUAACUUAUAUCUUUGGGCUUAAAUUGCUGGAGAAAGUGGCAGUGUUGCUGUGUGCGGUGCUGGUGAUAAGCCAGGAUAGAAGUUGUAUCCGGUCCUAUCUGCUCCAUGUGGCCGAGUGAAGGACUCCUGAUUGUCACAGCCAGUUUAGGCAUGAGAAGGGUUGCUAACGGCCUGGGUGGUGAGGUGGGUGAGCUGCUGCUGUUGAGAAGCAGUACUGCAGUCCUGUGGUAUGGCUCAGGCACCACCUGGUCCUCAAACCAGCAUGCCACUGCCACUACCAGGGUCCUGCACACCCCUUACUGCUGGAAACUGGAAUCCUAACUCUCCUCUGCCUUGGUGGCUUUGGAGCUGCAGGCUGGCCCUGGCAGGUGGAUGUGCCUGGUCUGUGGGCAUCUGGGAGCAGGGCCAUGGUGCUGCGCUGCUGUCACAGGAAGGAGCUGCUUCCUGCAGACCUCGCUGCUAUGUCCUGUUGCUGUCACCUUCACCCUGCUGUGCUCCAGUUUAGCAUCCUGCAGCCCUCUCCUGAAUUGCAGGCUCCUAAAGCUUCCCCUGGAGGUGCACAGCUUUGUACCUGCUGACUCCCGGUAAGCCUUCUUGCUCCUUUUGUGGGUUCCUUGUAGCCUGUUGAUGUGCUGCUUGAAAACCACUGACUUGAUGCAGCGCUUCAGGAGGUUCCUUGAUGUGGCUUCUCCUCUGCUUGGCAAAGAAAAACAGAGAACAGAGCAGGCAGUGAGACUUCGAAUUGGAUUUUUCCAGGAGUUGAGAUGAAAUUGAGAUUAGGCUCUUCCUUGUCCAUGUCUCUUGGAUUGGUGCAACGUGGUUUGGUCACUCCAGGUGUGUUGAAGUCCUGUUUUCUGCUUGUAUAUGGGAAGUCACUCUGGUGUAGCUGAGUCCUCAAGCCAGUGUUUUGGGGUGGGAUUCUUCUUAAGUAGAAGCUUAGGAUGAUGGCGACUUUAUCCUGCAUGCCUGACUCUUGACACAGUAGGUUUUUACCGACAGUCUUGGUCUGUGCCAACUGGAGAGGGUUACCUGGAGCACGGUGCUGCUUGGGCAUGCAGCAAGGAGACCAGAGUAAAAGUCACUCUUGGUAUGAGCAGAAGCAGAUAGCUCAGCUCUGCAGCCUGAGCUGACCCAGGAGUAGGCACCUGCUGCCAUCUCAGUGCGUGAUCCAACUGAAAGCACAGGCAAACGUGGAUGGAAGUUUGUAGGGACAGAAGUUGCUAAGCAUGUUGGUCCUGGUUUCACACUAACAGCACGAAAGCUGUCUGAGAGUGCAGGAAGAAGUUUGGUGGCUGCUACAAAAGUCGUUGCUUUGGGAAGCUUGAUGGUGUAAAUGUGCUCUAAAGUGAUGGUCAUGAGGACCAGCAAGAGUAACUGAAGUGGCUGGUGUCUUCCUGCCUGGCCUUUGUGAUCACAGCCAGCUGAGCUCAUUUCGAAGCACUCGUGAAGGCAAACAGCUGUCCUGUUUACCAUCUCUCCUCAGUGGGGAGGAAUGACCUGUGUCAGCAGGGCUGAAUUCUUCUCUUCUUUCCCUAGGCCUUGCUGGGAGGAGUGGAUGUGUGAACUCACCUCUAGGAGUGACCGGUGGCAGACCUUUUAGGAGUAGGAACACGGGCAGCUGCUGUCUAGAACAGCUAUGGUGCAUGGGCUUCUCCUGCAGGAAAGAGGCCCGCCUUCCAUUUGCUGUUGGCAGGCUUCAGAGCAGUCCCUUGCAUCGAAAAGCCAUACAAGAAAAGCACUGGAUGUAUUUUUAGAUGUCUUUUAAAGUGGCUGAAAAGCAACCUGUGUUGGGUCGCUCGCUGCAGUGCUGGAGCGGGCUGUGGGUGUGGGAUAGACCCAUCCGGAGACACGUGCAGUGGGGACUGCUUCACUGCUGCCAGGAUGCAGCUGUCUGUGGGAGCUGCUGCUGCUGGAGCAGUAGGGGCUGGCUGGGACAAUAGUGGGAAACAAGUGGGAGAUGUCCAGCUGAAACCAGUUUUAAUUUAUUUUUCCCUUAUCUGUUGCAGUUGUUUGGGUUUUCCUUGGCAGCUGCGGGCAGAACAGUUUGUGGCAGAGGAUUUUACAGAGCCCAAAAUUGGCAUGCUCUGAGUUGGUGCUGCGGGCAGAAGAGUCCUGCCUUCUCGUGCUGCUGCCAGGGAGCAGAAGUGCCCUUACAGAGCCCGCAUCCAGCAGGAACCUGUGCCAGGUGGAAACCAGCCUCUUGCUGGGCUCCUCUGCCAGGUGUCGGUGCCCUGGUCCCGCUCUGCAUGUGGCUUUAACUCCUGUGCCAGCACAAAGAGGAGUGGAAGAGCUUCCUCUGAAGGGGGCACCAGCUUAGAAGGACUGUGAAGCUGCCUUGUGUGGGUUUUCAGGCACGUCUGCCUGGCAGGAAGAGUUGGUCCAGCAAAUCCUUUCCUACCAGGUACUGAGUUGCUGGCAGUGGGUGAGGAUCCAUGCUGCUGAUGGAGCUGCCUGCAACGUUGAGCUUCUCUCAGGCCCUGCUUGCGUGAGCUCCCAAAAUCUCCACGGGCCAUUGAAUAGGAGGAAAAGUGCAUUGGGGUAGGAAGGAAGCGUGAUGCAUUGCACCAUGUUGCCUCAGAGGCGAGGGCGCUGCUUAGUGCAUGCACAGGGGUGUUGUUCCUUUGGAGGUGUUAGCUGAAAUCCUGGCCUGCACACAAGGGUGGGGGUAUUCACACAUCACAGCUGUUUGGUGCUUGUUUGGGGAGCGGGCUGGUUGACCCCUGCCCACCAAAUGAGAAGUAUUUUUUUCCUGCGAGCCAUGCCCUGUUAGAACAAGCAAAAAGAAUGGGAAGUAAUGCCAGAUGAGGAGCAGGGGACAGAAGAGAAGUGUCCUUUAGGACCAGCAGUAUUUACGUAAUAGCUAACCUACUAUUAAUGUAAAUAAGGAGCUGUGGUUUUUACCUUGGAGCGUCUGCCUGGGGUGGCUGCACAGGCAGUAUGUGGGCAGGUGGGGUGAGAGCUGGAGAGUGCCAGAUCGUUCUCCUUGUUUUCCAAAGCAUUUUGAAUUAUGGAAUUGUGACUGAAUUAUGGAAGCCUGUAUAUAGCGAGAGGAGGAGGGAGCCAGGGAAAGGAAGCCUGGAAAAGGUGUGCUUUUAUCCAUUGUUUGCUGGAGUGCUUCCUAGCUGGAAGAAACAGCUGGGGGGGGACUGUGGGUGUGCCUUUGACCACACAGCGGCCUUUCUGCAAGAUCUGCUUUCAUCAACCAGGUGGAACUUCAAGGACCUGUGGAGCUGAUCUCAGUAAAUGCUGCCCGUGAGUUCGGUGUGACCACGUUCAGUAAUCUGAAAUAGGCACUGAGCACUGCCAUAGGACCAGCUGCACUAAAUGUGUGUUUAGCGAGCAAAUCUGUUUCUCUGGCCCCCGUCACUUAAAAUGACUGUGGCUGUGCCGGACGAGCUCGUGAGGCUCCAAAGCCCCAGAUGACUUUGUAAUUAGUGCUGCUGUGAUGUGAGCCCACGUCUGGGGAGCAGGAUUUGCAUCGUGCUGGUGGAGCAGGACGUGGCCACGUGUUGGCUGUGGUGCUUGAAAGCUGUUGCUGAUGUCUGCCUGUCGGGAGGAGGCUGUCACAGCCGCAGAAUCCCCUGGUGUAGGGACACCCAGCUGGGCUGGGGGCUCCUGCUUCCUGACAGCCCCUUGCACUGUGGCUGCCUUCUGUCCCACACCGAGGCCCACAUGUGUGGGUGCUGGAUGAUCCAUUUAGGCUGGAAGUGCACUAAUUGAACAAAGCUUGGUGGGGAGCAGACCUGCCCAGCGCCUCCCAGCCCUCUGCAGCACUGACCCGUUGCGCUCACUGCCUUCCCGGGAGCUGCUGGCGGCUGCAGCGCUGGAUUUGGUAGCUAAUGCUCUUUGGAAUCGGUGUCAUUUAAAAAGUAUCCAGCCAAGAAAGAGCACAAGAUGUAAUUCCAACAGGGUUUUUUUUUAGAAGGGCGGUAGCUUCUAUUAAAGGGAAUCGGCACGGCCGUUGGCCCCGUGCGUGCCGUGGGCUUCCUGGGUGUUGGCUGUCCACGCUCCAGCUCUCCAAAUUCCUGCAGGAACGGUGCAAAGCUCAAAGUGAAACAUUCCUUCCACGCAUCUGCUGGCAUUCGCAGCACAGGUAUUUCGGUAGUUAACCCGUGGAGCUUGGGAGCGCAGAGCGGAGGUGCUGGGAGCGAGGGGUGAGGCAGAGCCUAUUUUUACUCUGUCACAAACAGGGCUCGGCAUGUUUAGUUUAUACUCCGGAGCCGCUCAGGCCGGGGUGUUUUUUAAUAUCUCCUCCUGCUGUUGCUAUCGGGUUGAAAACUCUGGAUAUCGCAGGAAAAAGCCAUUGCUCCUGUGAGGUGUGGAGGCCGCUGCGGCCUGCCUGCGGCCUGCCUGCGCCCACCCGCUGCUGCUGGGGGGUCUGUGAAGGCUGCGGCCUGCUGCUGGGCCCUGUGCCCGUGGUCCUGUGCCGUCCCGCGGAGGAGUGGGGGAUGGCUGGGCUUAAAACUCGUCAGUGACGUGCAGGAUGUGAAGGUCUGGGGAGCAGAGGCUGGGAGCAGGGAGCCCAUGCUGUGUGCUGUGCCCUCAGGUGCUCACCUGGGGCUGGCGGAGUUGCGGGGUGCUUCGCAUGUUGCGUUGCAAACUUUUAAGCUCUUUAUCCCAGCUUAUUGCUAAGGGCUAUUUAAAGCGUGGUGUGCUCACGCUGUGGUGACGUGUACGGUUCACAGGGAUGGGUCGCAGCUUCCUCGUGUUGGAGGCUGGAUGAGCAUGUAGGGUGAGCGGCCCCAAGGGGCCCCUAUCCACACAGGCUGGCCCUCCUCCUGCCCCCCAGCCCCUGGAAGCCAUCAGCCCGGACCUCCAGGCUGGGAUCUGCUGUGUGGCUUCAGGUUUGGUCCAUCCCCUGCAGACUGCAUCGCUAACCUGAGGCAACUGUACAAAGAACUAGUCAAGAUAUUGAUUAUUUAGCUCCUUUGCUAAUAAAUACCACUGAUGGUAAUUUACAGUUGUAUCGUUGUGCAUGCUUACAGCUACAAAGCUGGUAAUUAUUAAUCCAUGAUCUUAGAAGCUGCGCUUUGGAGCUGCCGUGUCACCCUGCCCUCCCACAGCACUCGGUGUCGGGGUGCUCGUCCCUCCCUGCCUGCCUUCCCACAGCAAAUCCUCCCCCACUGAUGGCAGGGUGAGUGCAGCACUCGGCCUUCCACCACUCCCCUUGCUCUUCCCAGACUCCCAAAUAACAGACUUGUUACUUCCUUGCUUGCUGGUUCCAGCUCUGCUCUAUCCAUGCCAAACCCAGUGCUUCUGUUGUGACUGGUGCAAUCCCAGCCCCGCUUUAUCUUGUUGCUGCCCGGUGCUGGUGACCCUGCAGGUCCCCUACAGUUGCUUGGCUCACGCUGAUGGCACGCUGGGUGCCUUAUGUCCUUCAGGCAAAUCACCCCACGUCAGCCUUCAUUCUUCUACCUGUGUCCCAUUAAGCACAAGCAGUUUACGUGUGGAUCUUCAUCCCAGUGCAGCAAAUUGCCAUUUUCCACGCUGCGUUUGCAUUCCAGCAGCAGCUGUGUGGUUGGCUCUCCUGGCUCCUGCAGGUUCCCCAUGGUGCUCUGACAAAGCUCCUGCUCACAGCUGCCCUGGAGCAUUUAUGGCCAAAGCUGUACUGAUGGAAGAGGAGACAGAGGGUCACCUGGCGCUGAUGUUCCUGCUGAAACGAGCUGGUGCACCUUUGGUCUCCAAGCACAGCUCCCAAGAGUUGGUGAGAUGUAUCUGACACAUUAACUAUGUGGUAUGCCUUCUGUAUCCCCCUGGCAGGCUCCUGGAGGUGAAUGCAGUAACCUGGAGGUGUUUUCCCCCCUUCUUGGUAACAGCCAGAGCAGAGCAGGAGUUCUUGCAGGGACGGUUGGCCUUUUGGCGUGGCUGAUUCCUGUUUUUGAAAGUCAGAUUCAAGUGUCAGACAGGUGAAACAAGUGGGCUCCGAGUGCCUGGUCUGGUCUCCAAAGAAAACCCGUGCUUGGCCGCAGACCCAUCUGCUCUGUGUGCUUUGGAUUCAGCAGGCCUGCAUUUAUUUGCGAAUAUUAAUAUUUGUGUACUGUAACGCAUCUGAGAACAUUCGUGCUCUGAAGGUUAAGCUGUGUUUUGUCAGCAUCCCUGGUGCACGAGAGCCCGUAUCCCUGGCACGCUGCGCUGCAGGGUAAUGCAUUUUCCCUCUGUGCACGGCUUGGCCAACUCUUCGGGGGAGAACAGACGUCAGAUGGGGUUUGGCACAUGGCAGGGCAGGACCUGUGCUCUGGCUGGAGCAACUACAGCCAGUUGUGUGCUCUGGGGCUCCAUCCCUGGGAGCAGUGCCUCAAAUCUAGAGAGGGUUACUUUGCACAGAGUUGCUGGUGUAUUUUCUUUCACUCCUUGGCCUGUACAAGAGAAAAAAACUAGGUUAGGAAAUAAGACCACUUGUUGUUUUGUGAACAAAGCAGCGUUGAUCCGCAGAGCUGAAGCCAGGUAUGUUGGUAGAGCCCUGGAAUUCUGACACGUGUAUGUGCAGAUGAGCUCCUGGAAAAACCACGGCAAUGAGCCCGUGGGGUAACACAGCAUUGUUCCCAAAGAAACCAGGAGCAGAUUGGGCUGGCAGGGUGCGGGUGUGAAACGUGGGGCACUGCACUGGGGGGUGCCCAGUAAAAUACGGUUUGAAACAAUACUUGGUUAUAGAAGAAGUACUCAUGGCUUAAAAUAUCCCCGGAAGGGCUGUACGGCUGGGCAGAGCAAGUUUCCCACCUUCUAUUUUCAGCUUUUCCAGAGAUUUCCUUAAUUCUCUCAGGCUUUUCCCCUGUGUGCUGCCCCAGCCCUCCCCGGGCAUCCUGUGCUACAACCUAUUGGCAGUUUGGUAUCCCAAGUUUGCUGUGCUGACUUCAGCCUGGCUUUCCUCACGCUUGUUUCCUGGCUUCCUCCAGAAGUGGGACCGUGUCAGGUGUGUUUUUCUCAACAGGAAGAGGCAGGAAGGUGAGGGGACAGUUGCCAUAACCACCUUAUCAGCAGCAGCUCCAGACCUGAAGGAGCUGAAAUCGGUGUUGGUCACUCCUGCAGAGCAAACAGCCUUUGGAGGGCUGUGGCAAAUGGAGCCAGGGCUGUCUGUCUGAGGCCAGCGUGUAUUUCACUUUCUGGGACAAAGGCUACUUAGACAUCUGGAUUGCACUGGGGAUUUUAGGGCAAAAACCAAUUACUGGUUUGCUGUGGAUGAAGAAUGGCUCCUCGCUGCAUUUCCACCACCUUAGUGCCGUGCCAAACUUGUGCUCCAGUGCUUUGGGAGGGAGAGCUGCAGCGCAGAGCUCGUUUGGUGCCCUGGGAACGUGAGGCUGAGCAGACCUCUUCUGACCUUCGGGUGCACUGAGAAAACAAGCUCGUUUUAUGGACAGUUAAUUUAUAGAAAGUUCCUGUUUAAAUUUCCUGCAGGAGCCAUAAAGCCGGAGGACAGCUGCGCCCAUCGCAAACCAAGGGCUGCUCCCACCUGGCCCGCACAGAUCCAGCUGUAGGGAGCUGUGGGACGGAGCACUCGGGAGCUGCCCUGCAGAGGAGCAGCCCUGCAGUGCUUUGGAGGUGUCCUGACUGCUGAGAUGGGGCUCCCAGGGUCGAGUCAGGGAUACCUAUCAGCUUUUGUAUUGCGUUCACUCUGGUUUACUUAAGCCUGGCUUAAGGCGUGUGUAGGUGGCAAUAACUAACAGUCCAAAACAAAAGCUGUUUGGCAUUUUUUUUCCCCCUUCCAGGCACGGGGAAAACUGCAUUUAUUUCCUGCUGCUUUCUCCCUCCUUCCCCAAAGACAGAAAUAAGCAAAGCCUUGCAGACUUGCAGUUGUGUGUGCCGCUUUCAGUGCAAAGCAGGUAGGGUGCCGCAGCACACCCUGCACACAGCUCCAGCUCGGCUCCCCGCAGCAGCCAGGCUGCUCUGCUCCAAUAAUUCUGAUCCUGAUAGCUAAUUCUGAUCCAGUUUGACAGGGGUCGGGAUCUUAAAGACACCGAGCUCUCAGGAGAGCCCUACGAUACUCGGUCUGUCCUGCUGCUCAGAGCUGCUUUCUGCAGGCAGGUAGGCUCACGUUCACCCUCCCUGCUUUGGAUCCCUUUACCAUUUCUUCUUCUCAGCCUCUUUGCCACAUUAAAGCUAAGAUGAGAAGGAAAGAAAAACUUCCAGCUCAUACCCAGGGCUGAGAACCAGAACUGGGAGGUGCAGGAAUCCAUCCCACGAAUACUUGGAAGGCAGUUUCUUGGCUCGGGGCGCGCUGGGGAUUCGCGCCCUGGCUGCCCCCCCAUCCCCACCGCCUGUCCCUGCUCGUCAGCCCUCGCUGCUGGGCAGCCUGCGCCCUGCUCGCAGGCUGGCCUUCCUCACGCUCCUCGCCUCUUUCUCCCAGGCUGUGGCUCACCGGGGCAGAAAACGACUUCUGGGUGAGUGGCUGGAGGGUUAGAGAGGCCCCUGGAGCCCCUGCUUUGGGUAGCUGCUGGGCACUGAGCGGCGGUGGGAUGUAGGAGUGAUGGAAGGGGAGCGCCGAGCUCCGUGCAGCUCUCGCACGGUGCGGGGGUCCUUCGGUACAGCCCUUGGGCAGGUUUCCCCACCUGAUAGAGGAAAACUCUGGUAUGUUCAGGGCUUGAAAUAUCUUUGUUUUGUUGAAGCCGGGGCCUGUUUCUCUUCUUUUAAAUCUCUGCAGCAGUUGAUAAGCAGCUGGUCCUUUCUCAGGGAGAAAACGCUGCAGAAAGAAAUGCCAGGAAUGCGAACAGCAGGUGGGGACUGGCAGAUGUACAUAUCAAUCACGACAGACUGACAGAGGGGCUCAUUCCUCAGCAGAGCCUCUGUUUGCCUCUUGCUGGCUUUGUGCGAACCCCUCUGAGUCCCUUCAGCCUCCGCUGGGGGCUUAUAGCGGGGCAGCUCUUGGGCUCUGCUGGGGAGCAGUGUGCUCUGUGCUGCCCUGGGAGUGGGACCCCUGCUCCGGGGAUGGGGGCAGAGCCUUUGGAGCACACUGCCGGGUCUCAGCAGCGUUCCUAAUAACUAAAGUGCUGCACCUCGGGCUUGGGCAGUGAGGGAUCUUACUGCCACGUUGCCGAAGAAGCGGGCGGCCUCAGCGAGUUAAUUGAAUUUGCUGCACUGUUGCAUUUUAAACCAUGACUUCAUCCCUCUGAGGAGUCUGGAGUUAUUUCCGUGGACAAACCCAGGCUUGGAGACGGUGGUUCUCUGAGGUCACCUGUGCUGAGCAGCGCGGGACCGCGCAGCCGCAGGGUGCAGAAGUGCAUGGCAGAGGGCUGAGCAGGAUCUGCGGUGCCACGUGAGUGCUUCCCGAGCUCACUCCUUGCACUCACUGCUGCUGCUUUCUGAGCGCCUGGCACUCGGUGCGGAGACGUCUCGUAGUGGUAGAGCACCUGGUCGACAUGAAAGAACGGGCUGAGUGGGGAGAAGCCUUUAUCUGGUGAUCUCUGGGCGGCAUUCCUCUGUGCGAUGGCAGCGCAUGUUACAAGCAGUGCAAAGCUGCUGCCCCAAAUGACAUUUGGGAUGUUUUUUUUUCCCAGGCUCUAAGCUUUCAUUUUGGCCGACGUUGGGAUGUGUUAUCCGAGUGCUGCGGGGCCGCUUCGCUUCUGCACGGCGAUUCCUGGAAAACCCAGAAUAAAACCCGUGCUGGUGGGGCUGUGAUCAGACCUCCCCCGGCGUGAUGGGUCCCCAUGGUGUUCUGCUGGGCUCGGCCUGCCUGAGCAGCUGCUGGCUGCAAGGCUUCAGGUCAGCCAGCUCCGCUCCCAGGGAUUUGGCUGUCCCCAAAAGCCAGCAGUUCCGUGGGGUUUGCAGGGAUGGUGCUGAUUUACACAGCUGAUGUGUUUAACAAGGGAAGGCACAUCUGCCCCAAGUCCUCUCAUCAGCUUCUCUUUGCAUCACCGCUUGUUUUUGUGACAGAGCAGUGUAAGGAAGGAAGGCUUUUCCCAAGUAAGAAGGACAGUGAGGAUAAGGGGUUGCUCUGUGCUGGGGUGCGGAGCAAAGAGUUUGGAAACAUAACUUUUUCCAGCAUUAAGACUCAUUUUCUUAACUCCACAUCACAGUUCCUUGUUGGAACUGGAAUAGUUCUAAGUCCUCCUUUAAAGUACAGUAGGUAUCCGUGACCAAACCCUUAUUGGAGAGGUUGUGUCUGGUGCUGGAGUGCUGGUUCACUCCUGAGCCUAAUGGCUGGCACUGCAUGCUGUGGGUCUGAGCCCAAUGGCUGGCACUGGAGUUUCCCAUGCUGUGGGUCUGCCUUGUGCUCGUUCUUGAGUUUUCAGCAAAAACAGUUCAGCCAUUUUCAGGAGCUAAAGGCAGAAGUGCCCAAAGUUGUGAGUAUUUAAGAGAACAACGAAGCUUAACUGCGGUGCACGGAGCCGCCUGCUGUUGUCAGUGUCUGAGGGCUGUGCUCCAGGCAGAAAUGCCCUGAUCUUAUCACCUGGCAGGCACCAGAAUGGCUUUGCAGACCUCACCUGCUGCUCAGAGAUGCUAUCCACAAAGGGCCUGGUUGGCUGGGCCAGGGCAGGGCGGGGACACCUGGGGGGGGACACCCCUAUCCCCUCACUGCUGCCUUGUGUACGGCCAUGGCUGGGUGAGGAGCUGCUCUGUCCUGUGGAGAGAAGUCCAGAGAAGGUGCAGAACGAGCAGCACGCUGUGCUUGCUGUGAGCAGCUCAUGGGCAGCCCAAGCUCAGGUAUUCUCACUUUGAAUUCAUUAUUUGCAGCUUGUACUACCCGCAGCAGCAUCCUGCCUUGCUGAGAGCAUUAGGAGUGGGUGGUGUGGGGCUCAGCCUGCAGUCAUAGCAGCUCAUCCUGUGGUUGUCACGAGGCACCGAGGGGCAGCCUGGCUUCUGCUGCCCUGCUGCUAUCUCUGACAAUCACUGUGUGUGUGUGUGUGUGCGCUUCAUUAAUGUGGUUUUAUGUGCACUUUGUUGCAGUGAGGUUGUAGAGGCCUUUGUGUUGAAGUCCCCAAACUGCACCUCUCUUGGUCUUUACAGCACGCCUCUCUCUGGCUGCGUGCUGUUGUAGUUCCCUGCUCUGCUGUACAGGUGCCUGUUAAGCAGGGAGUGCCUGGGGACUGCAGCUGCUAAGCCAGGUUUUCUCUUCUCCGUGUCUAAAACUCGAGCUGCACGUUUUUCCUUAGAGCUUGUUACUAAAGCUCAGGCACCAGGCCUGAACUCCUCUUAGCAGGUGGGCUGUUGGGAAGCUGGAUGCUAAUCCUGGCUGCCCUGUAGCCUUUUUUUUGUUGUUUUGGUAAUGAAGUCUACCCCCUCCAGGUGAAGGCACGAAGCUGUGGCCGGGCUCUGCACCUUGGUCCUGCUGUAUGAGCACUAAGACAGAACUGCAGCCGUGGCACAGCACAGUCCUGCAGGGCUGCCCGGCCUCUCGGGACCCUGCAGCUCCUCCCCAAACCUGCAGCCCCUUAGCGACAGCCAGCCUAGGAAGUGCCAUAUAACCACUGAAGUAAGAUAACGUAAGCAAAUAGAAGCUUUAGUGCAGGUAAUUGGGUACCUAAUUGCUGCAUUUGCCACCUGGGGACUGGAAUUGCUCUCUGCUCUGGAGGCUGAAUGGGCCAUACUGUGAUAAGCAGUUUAAUUGUUUCCCUGCAUCUGCUGCAGCAUUAUAAAACCAAGGCAAGCUGCACACACCUUCAGAGCUUAACAGCCUCGCUGCAACUCUGAGCCUGUGUUUUCCUGUGGCUCUUGAGCAUCCCUCUUCAUGCAGCCCUUCUGUUCUCCACACCCUUUAUCCUUGCCUAGGUUGCGUGUUAGCAGUGAGCCACUGAGGUUUUUGGAAAGUUGUUGAGGUCUGUGCAGUUGUUAGCUGUAAGGAGUGUGCAAGCGGUGAGGAGGGUCUGCUGGCAGUGGGAUGCCCUCUCCAGCCAAUUGUUGGGGUCUGAGCAUCCUUUUCAUAAGGAACAGUAGAUGGGUGCUGAGCAGAAAUCACACCCAGGUUGACUUGAGGGGUGGUAUUUGGAAGGAGAGGUGUGGGGUGUGAGGGGCUCUGAGUGCUUGAGGCUGUGACAUGGGGCUGCCCUCCUUCUCGGAGGCACUGCUGGGUGCCUGUGCCUGGGAGAGGCAGCCCUGCUGCAGGAGCUGAGAGCAGGGCGUGGGGGCUUUGGGGGGGAGCCAGGGGAGAUGGUGCUUGGUGGGGACAGGCACGAGCUGGUACAGAACCCGGCUGAGCACUGGUGUCAUUUUCCUAGUUGCCUCAGAGUGGCAUUCAGCUCUGUUUUCCCGGGGCAAACACCGGUGCUUUAAUGACUUUGCCCCCAUUCCUGGGAUUCCUGCAGUCUGAGCAGGUGUAUUACCUGUGCUUUGCUUCUUUGCUUUGCCCUGGGAGAGACGUCAGCGCAGGGUCUGUCCCAUCCUCUUACUCCAAUGUUUCCCUCCAUAGUUUCACUCCACCUUUACUCCGCCUGGGUGUGCAGAGAGAGCUCCUUGCUCCCGAGCUUUGGGCACUGGCAGCAGCAGGAGGUGUUAGUGCUGGACUUGCAGCUAAGAACAGAUGCCCAAAUCCCAGCUCCACUCCUUACAGUGGAGUUCGUGGCCUCAGAAUUAUUGGGUUUGGCACUCAGCUCCACGAUGCCAGAGCAGGGUGUGGAGGAAGGCUGGAGCUGUCUGUGUGCUUCAGCCCCCCCACCGCUUCCCCCAGGCCCGGGGUGACCUGGCAGCAGGGCUGCAGCCCUGAAAGCCCUGCACAGAACCAGACGAGUUGGUUUUGAAUUGGCUUGUGCCAUAGCAGCAGGGAAGCAGCUGGACACCCCCUGAGCCAGGUCCCUGCUUUACCACUGCUCACACACUGCUGCCAUGGCUGGGGCUUGUGGUGAGGAGCAGGGAGUUCUAGCCAGGCAGUGCAAGCCUUUGCCCUCUGCUCUCUAGCAAGAGAAUACCUAUAAAAAAUGUACGCCGUGCAAAGAGCUCAUCGGUCUGAUGGAGUUUGGUGAGUCCUGAGGACCUCUAGGUUCUUUAAUUCCUCUUUCAGAAGCUUUCUUGGUCUGAGCUCUGCUUCAUUUCGCUGCUUUCCCAUUUUAUGCUGGAUGGUCAGAGCUGGAGCGUGCUGCCAAAAAAGCAUUUACAAUGGUUUUCCUGAGAAACACUGAAAGUUGCAAGGCCGUGGCCGGGGCCCUGGCUGCUCUGCACAGAUUGCUCAGUGGUAAAUGUGUUCAGAGGAAGAGCUGUGGCAGUUCCACUCACUGAGCAAUAAGGGCAGAGCAGCUCCAUCGAGCUGCAUCUUCAUGCUUUGGCUUGGGGCUGCAGGGUGGGGUGCAGGAGCUGAUGGAACAGAGGGAUGCUUCCAAACAAUGUGCUAGCCCUUAGCUACGCAGCCACUAAGGACAUCAGUGAUGCUGCCUAUGUAACUGGAGUGCUGGAAACCGGCUCGCCUCGCUCCCUUGUCUGCCUCCUGUCAGCUCUUAUGCCUCAAAUCCCAUUGGUAGCAGCAGCCGGGCUGCUGGCACAGUGGGAAGGCCUUGACCCCAUCCCUCCAGUCCUGCCUGGUGCCCCGAGCUCAGCUGAUGGAAACGGUUGCUUAAAGAACACCUCCAAAGACCAUCUUGAAGUACUUCACUGUCUGAGGAAUUCCACGGAAUACUCAGAAGGUGAUGAUAAACUGUUGGAAUGCGGCUGCCUGUCCACGAAACCAUCCAGCAAAACGUUCAGACGAAUGCAAAAACCUCAUUAAGGUUUUUCCCUUGUCGGUGUGGUUUGGUGCCUGCAGGCCUGGGGUGGUUUGCUCCUCUCCUGUGCUGGGAUACGCAGCGUGCUGACCUCUGCUCCUGUGUGGCUUCCAGCAGGCCGUGUGGUCGAGAGGCUGAGCUGGGAGAAGCUGCAGAGAGAUUUCCUGCCUUACUGGGCGUGAGAAUGUAUCCCUUGGGGUCCAUCUCCUUUCUGUGUGGGAUCCUUCGUACUUACCAGGACAAAGCGUCCAGUGGAAGCCUCCUCCCUGGUGAGGAUAUUCAUCGCUUCUCUUCCGUGUGGGCUCUGAAGCCUCGUGAGGGGGUUUGUUCAGCCUUUAAUUCAGUUAAGAAGUCAGGCAAGAGUUGCAAAUCUGGUUGGUCUCGUUUGUUUCAGUGCUCGUAGCUGCAUCCCAAGCGAACAUCUGCACAGCACAGCGGGGCGGCAGUAGGGAGGAAUAGGAUUUCUAUGGGUUUCAGCUGAGAUUGCAAGGGGUGCUGGGGGCUGGGGAAGGGUUUUGUCCCACGUAGAGCGUGAGAUGGGGGAAGGACUGCAGCCCAUCAGUGGCAGGACGGUGGUGGGCAGUGCAUAGAUGGACAUCUGCGUUCCUCAUUGCAGUGACUUCCAAGGUCACUGGCUGGUGUGAAUUGGACUCAGGCAACUGGUGGAUGGUGAGUGACAGCCACGGGGACAGGAUGGCUCCUGCUGGAACACCCUUUGGUAAGGCUGCUGCCUUCAUCUCUGCAUUAUCUUGCUGAAUUUGCUCGGAGCUAUGGAAUGCUGUCUUCACAAAAGAGAAAUGGGGAGGAAAAAUACCUAUUUUAUCUUGGUGCCCUGAGUUCUGUUUCUUCUCGAGUCUUGGAAUCUGAUAAAGCAUUCAUUUGCAUGUAUGCAUACAUGCCUGUCGUGUUUGUCUUCAAAAUAUGCAUUUCUAUAGCUUCGGUAGUAAAGAGCUCUUAAAGCCAAAGAAGUCAGAGGCUAACUUGUUUAAUUGUUUAAUUUCCUGUGACUUUCGGUACUAGCUUUAGCUUAGGUUCUGUUAAAGGUCGGGUGUAAGCGUGAGGAUGUUUAUGCUCUCUAGCUCUGUUUCAGGCAAAAUCAGGAGCUGUGUUCCUGAGGGGCUGGCUGUGUGGUGGCAAAUCAAGUGAAGUCAAAGCCAGGUUAAACUGAAUGCCCUUAAGAACGAGCAGACCUUUGCUCCUCCCUGCUGCAGCUGUAUAUUUAGCCUAUGUGCCCUUUCCAAUUACAGCCAGGAGAAGACACCCGAGGAGGAAUGCAAGUCAUACCCGCCCCGAGUGCUGCCCUGGGAUCCAUCACAAAGUGCUUCUCGAGCCAGAAGCGGUGCCUUGGUAACUUCUGUCCAUAAAACUGACCCGUCCCUCCCUCCUUCUUGGGAUUUCACAUUCACCACAUCCACAGCCUCGUUCUGCACAGGGCUGAGCUUGGUGCCUGCCUUGCUCCUGGUGCAUCCAUCAGCAGCCCCUGCUCCCAGCCCAUGGUGCCUCUGUACCUGCUGCGCUCUGCCCGCUUCUCCCCAGGGCAGUGCAGUUGUUUCUCAUGCAGGGUCCAUCCUGUAUCCAGAUAAUCCCUUCUGGUCCUUCUUUUGGAGGCUGUGGGCGGUGCCUGACGUGAGGACAGCACAGCGAAGCAGCCUUCAGCUGUUAUUCGGAGUCACCUCCGUGGAUUUAUCCUAAUUUGCCUGCGUGCUGCCAGGACAGUGGCAGUUCUGGCUGCAGUGUUCCUAAUUACAGGGAAAAAAUGGUCUCUGAGGCAUCCUAAAUAUUUGGGCCGAUAAUAUCUGAGUUUCCUUUUAACUGAGAGCACUUGAAGAUAUGAUCUGGGUUGUCUGUUUGGGAAUAGCAAAGUGGGAGGAAGGGAUUGAUUGUGGUUGCUGAAGCUCUCAUCAAAGAGAGAAGACCCACCCAGCCAAAAGCAGUGCUGUGGUCACUUGUGGGGGUCUGGCGCUGCGAUGGCUGCCGUGGAUUCUCCUGAGCUCCGGGGGAUCACAGUGGCACACACUGAGCACGGGUUCUGAGGGAUCUGCAAAGCAGGAUCUAACAGCUGGGAGGCAUCCACCUGGUCUUCUAGCAGAGUCAGGUCGGCGUGCAAGCGCCUGCUUCCUUCCUGGUGGUACAAAGCUCUAGCUUGCAAAGAGAAGGUAAUGAUGAGUAGCAGGAAAGCUUCCCCUGAGCUAUGAGUAGGUUAAAUAUCUCGGUGCUUACUGUAGCAGAAUGAAAACCGCUUUGAGGUGUCGAUUGCUGUGACCACUUCCCCUGCAAGCUCCAUGGAGCGGCUGUUGGCACGCGUGACCUGAGGCAGCUAGUGACAGUUUGCAGUUCCCAUUGGCAGAAGUGCUGCUCGUCUCCCUGCCCAGCACAUACCUCAGCACAGCUGAGUUUUGUUGUUUUUUUUUCCCCUAGAUUGUUGCUCGGUGUCAGGGUUUCCUGUUGCUGACAACAGCUGUGCUGGAGAUGAGCAGAACCUGCUACUUCGCAUUUGGUCUAUGGUUACAGGCGGGCAGGACAGCUGGCACUUCAGCAUUAAACCACAACUGCAGGGGUGAGCUUGUCUUUCAGACAGGCAUCCUGUCCUGUGCACGUCCUCCCCGCACGUGUCUGCUCAGGGUGUCCUUGGUGGGGGCCUGGCUUCGUGGAGGGAGAACGUCCGUCCCCAGCUUCGCCCGUGUGCUCGUGCCAGCUGCGUGACAAAUGUCCCUGAGCAACUGUCCUCCUGCACGUCCCAACCGUAACUCACCCGGGCGUGCAGAGGCUGGAGCUGGUGAGCGCCUGGGUCACUGCUGUGCAUGCAGGUGGCUGGCAGGGUGGAGGGUAGGAGAAGCCCCCUCCUGCCCAGCCCCCCACAGCCGUGCAUGGAGCAGCAGUCGGCACCAGGGCACGUGCAGCACUGUGCCCCUGCCCGCGCCCAGCCGGCCCACCACAUUGCAUCAUUCCUGCUGCUCGCUGCCUCGACACGCAGCCACUGAUGGGACUUGCCUGGAGAUUCUCCUGUGGGAACACGCAUGAGAGCUGUGCACGCACAAUAGAUGUGCCUUGGGAAGUUGCACCAGCCCGUUGAGUUCUGCCCUGAGUUGGCUUCCUUAGGGAGAGGCUGUUCAGUGCUGCCUUUAUGGGGACAUUGGUAAAUAAGCAGCUCAGGUAAGUGGGAUUCCUCCUUGCUCUCCUUAAUUCCUUCUUAUCUGGAGCAGGGCAUAGGAAGGCAGCUACCCAGGCUUUCAGCGUGCAAGGUUCAGAGGCAUUAACAUGCUGGCAGUGAUUAAUUACCGCAGCCCACUGAUGUGACUGUACUUGAGCAAUUGGAUUAGGUGCAGCUGGGCAGGGGCUCACUUAGCAGGUUCUUGCUGGAGCCGUGAUGUAGUUGACCACGCAGAAGUGAUUCCUAGGGCAGCUGCACUCCUGCUGGGGCCGUGCUCCUCCUGGUCCUGCGGUGGGCACACAGCAAGGUGCCAUGGCUGGCAGGAGCUGUGUUGUCCAGGUCUUGCUUUCGGCCCCGUCUUCCGGCCGCUCUGUUCUGCGUUCCUGCAUACGAAGCAGUGCAUAUCCUUAGCACAUCAGCAGGCCUUGUGGUUGCAUGGAGGAGUCAGCUCCAGCAUUGCCUUGACAAGUCAGCAUCAUAUCAGCAUCACCCAGCAGGCCCGGCUGCGUGCUCCGAGAUGAGGAUUUGGCAUCAGCAAUCAGGCAUCAACAUUGGCACGUGCGCUGAGCACCGAGGCCAAAGCAGAUGUUGAUCCCAGCUUUGAUGUUUAAUCCAACGUUUUGGAGGUUCAAAGUGGAGACCCAAAAGAGCUCUCGCAGAAGCAGGAGGAUAAAGAGAAACUCGGUGCUUUCAUAAGAUCAGACGGAGCAAAACAUCCUGAAAUUCAGGACUAACCUGAACCUUUGUGGUGGUUGUGCCAAACAGGGCAGCGCAGCUCCUGCUGGAGGAGGGAGCACUGCUGUGUGGAGGAGCUGGAGUGGCCCGGCCUGCCCCGGUAGCCUGAAAGCAAGUGGAUGAGCCCUGCAGCACGGUGAUCCCUGCAGAGCAGAAAGCAGCAUUGCAGAAUUCUGUUUGAUUUUUGGCUCUGUUCUGAGCUUGCAUGAAACGGUGGAAUCAUAGAAUGGCUUGGGUUGGAGGGGGGGGCCUUAAACAUAUCUAGUUCCAACUCGCUGAAGCAGGCAGGGAUGCCAACCAUCAGCUCAGGCUGCCCGGGAUCCCACCCAGGCUGGCAUCAAGUGCAUCCAGAGAUGGGGCAUCCACAUCCUCUCUGCACAACCUGUCCCAGCACAUGGCUGGACAGCAGGCUGUUGGCCCUUCUGAUCCUCUCCGGCUCCGUGCUGGUCUCAGCUCAUGGAAGGUGAUCCUGAACGCCAUCAUCUUCUACCUAUGACUGGGCAGUCUCAAACAAGUGAGUGCGUUCUGCCCAUCACAGCAUGUGAAAUAGUUUGGCUGUAGCUCUUGAGCUUCCCUGGAGGCAUCGUGCAGGUGCCCAUGCUUUUUCCACCCUCCCGUGUUUGUUCUGUGCAUCUGCCCUUGUAGACUCAAGCUCUGUGCUGUGCACAGGUGUGGAUCUGUCAUGAAGAGACCGUAGCUGGGAGCCUUGCUCUGGCUCUGGGGAGCUGCCCUGCCUUUGGUCCUAGCACAGUGUGAGAGCCUGGCACCACUUCAGCUUCUGUUGUUGUAUGGUGAGGAGCUGUAUUAAAGAGAUUUCUUGGUGGUGUAACGCUGUUCUUACUUCUCCUGGCUUUUCUUUUGAUGAUGGCUACGGAAUUCUUCCUGUCCCUCCAUUGUGCUCUGCUUCUGGCUGCAGAGACUGUUCUGUGGUUUUCCUAAGGGAAAUUUGGAAUUGGUGUGACCUGCAAGUGUCACACUGGAUCUGCACAGCCGGUGCUUGAGUUGCUUGGCUGAGGGGUGCGGGCAGUGCCUGUUGCCUGCUCCAGAGGUUCUUUCUGCAGCGGGUGAUGACUUCAUCCUCCUCUCCUGCUUGCCACAGAUAUCAGGGUCUGGCUCCGUUCUCCCAGGCACUCCUAUCCGUCCAGCAGGAUCGCCCCGGGGCGGAUCGCAGAGUUGGCAGAACAACACAGAGCCUCACCGUGGCAGUGCGUGGUUCCUGCAGCCACGGCAGGCGGGGGGCAUCGCUGCUGUGGGGACACGGUGCCCUUCUCUGCAGGUGUGGCUGCAGCUCUGCGUGGCUGCUGCUGGCUGCACGUCCAUCCCACGCAGGUGUGGAGGCCCAGCUGUGAGCAGCAGUCAUGUUUCUGUGCUGAUUACCAUCUCAGCUCCACAACAGCCACGUUCCUCAGCUGCCGCCUUCCUCCCCUGGCUGCAGCCUCUGAUCCUGCCCACGCUUGCAGCUUCGCUGCUCUCCACUCCCUCCAUGCAGACCUUCCAGUGAUGGGGCCACAGGAGAAGCAGCUCGUGGACAAGGUGCUAUGGGUGCAGGCUCUAUGGAGGCUGCGGGCCUCUUUCUGCCUUCUUAUAGCUGUGUGCAGUGACAGUGUCUUGGUUUCCUACUGUGGCAGUGGGUGGCCUCACCAGGACCUUCUGCAGAGCCUUGUUCUGUCUCCAGAGCUUGUUCGGAACAAGAUGUGCAGAGCAUGCUGGAAGUUCUCUUCUUGUUGUGACUCCAGGCUCACCAAAUUCACCACGUCCAAAAGUCACGUGCAUUCCUGUGUCAUUUGAUGCGUGUCAGAGUCUCAUCCCCUGACAAGGCAGGGAGCUGGUAGGAGCCGGGGCCUUUGGGAAGUAGGACUUGCCUUUACCUACCCAGCUGCUUCAUACCUGGUGGUGACAGCCUCUGGAGAGGCAGCUCAGGUGUUUCACUCUGGGUGCAGACCACAGCGUUGCCCUUGGGAAGAGCCUGGAUUUGGUUUCUCUGUUACUUGGCCCAAUGUGCUCCUGUCCUGGGCUCUCCUCUGGCCCAGUGUCUUGCACCGACCCCCUCCCAGCUGAUUCCCAGUGCUUUCCAGCAGCGUUUUCCACCCGUGCUGUUUCUCCUGCCUUUCACUUGAGGGCCUUCUGAGGCUGGCAGCGCUCAGAUCACAUAUCUGCCUGACAAAUGCUGCACCAGAGGUUACUGCGUUCGACUCUCAACCCCACUGCCCCUGGGUGGGGGCACGGAGGUGUCAGUCCUCUGCCCGCAGGUGGGGAAGGCCUGUUGCAGGGUGAGGACGUGCCAGCCUUUGCACAGCCCCUCUGCCUUCUCCCUUCUGCAGUAGGCCUGGCUGUGCAGCCGCGUGGCCUUGGGGCACGCCAUGCUGCAGCAAUGGGUGGCGGGCUGUGCGGGGUGCUUACGGGUUUGGGAAUGGAUUUGGUUUCAGCUUGACAGGCAAACAGCUUCAGGGGUGGGGAACUCUGAAGCAUCCUCAGCCCGAGGACUCGGUGUCCAGAAUAGCACAAGCUCUGCGUCAGCCUCAGAGCGCCCGCAGCGCGCUCCAGCUUUGUUGGUUAGCUGGGCGGAUGCAGAACCCGCCCUGUGAUGGCUUUGCACAGGGCAGCUCCCAGCCCUGCUCACACGCUCUGCAGUCAGGGCAGCAGCACGUGUGUGAGGGCAGCCAGGCGUACACCCGCAGUGUGGGAGCUGUGCUGGGGGCUGUGGCUCUUUGUGGUCGUGAGGCAGGGUUUGCUCUCGGAAUUCCGAGCUGCUGCCCUCAGCCUGGGAAAUAAAGGGUUGGUUAAAGGUGCCUGAGCACCUGGAUCCAAGGUAGCCCAGUCCCAAGUGCUCUCUGUGGCCUCACAUGUGUAGCUUGCUCAGGUCUGAUCCUAGAGUGCGUGUUGCUGGCCCCAAAGUCAGGUAUGAACACUGGCUAAUCCCAAAGGCUGGAACUGGAAGUGAGCCUGGUUUAAGGAGUUGCUCUAUGGGGUGGAGGAGCGGAAGCAUCUGUCGUGCAUUGAGUAUCAAAGGUUUCUAGGGGCCUUCACGCUGAGUAAUCAGCAUUUAAAUGUGCUGCUGCCCCUGCCUGAGUGCUGCUUGCCUCCAAAGACCCCUCUGCACUGUGCUCUGCCCCCAGCUGUGUCUGCCCACUGCCUGGGGCCAGCGGGUGCUCCAGCAGCAGCAUGGCCGUGUGCGUGGAAAGCAGGCAGGUCUGAUUGCUCUAGAGAUGCUGUGCAUCAGGAAAAGAGCUGGG